RNAcentral lists this ribosomal RNA (611 nucleotides) under Streptomyces sp. Its description in RNAcentral is "bacterial SSU rRNA". It matches the Rfam family "Bacterial small subunit ribosomal RNA", at positions 108 to 733 of the family's 1533-position model. Lineage: Bacteria; Bacillati; Actinomycetota; Actinomycetes; Kitasatosporales; Streptomycetaceae. The record is from RNAcentral.
GAGUAACACGUGGGCAAUCUGCCCUGCACUCUGGGACAAGCCCUGGAAACGGGGUCUAAUACCGGAUAUGACUGUCCAUCGCAUGGUGGAUGGUGUAAAGCUCCGGCGGUGCAGGAUGAGCCCGCGGCCUAUCAGCUUGUUGGUGAGGUAGUGGCUCACCAAGGCGACGACGGGUAGCCGGCCUGAGAGGGCGACCGGCCACACUGGGACUGAGACACGGCCCAGACUCCUACGGGAGGCAGCAGUGGGGAAUAUUGCACAAUGGGCGAAAGCCUGAUGCAGCGACGCCGCGUGAGGGAUGACGGCCUUCGGGUUGUAAACCUCUUUCAGCAGGGAAGAAGCGAAAGUGACGGUACCUGCAGAAGAAGCGCCGGCUAACUACGUGCCAGCAGCCGCGGUAAUACGUAGGGCGCAAGCGUUGUCCGGAAUUAUUGGGCGUAAAGAGCUCGUAGGCGGCUUGUCACGUCGGUUGUGAAAGCCCGGGGCUUAACCCCGGGUCUGCAGUCGAUACGGGCAGGCUAGAGUUCGGUAGGGGAGAUCGGAAUUCCUGGUGUAGCGGUGAAAUGCGCAGAUAUCAGGAGGAACACCGGUGGCGAAGGCGGAUCUCUGGG